Molecule: ribosomal RNA, 253 nt
Filed under: uncultured bacterium
Lineage: Bacteria
Description: partial 16S ribosomal RNA
Rfam family: Bacterial small subunit ribosomal RNA
Source: RNAcentral
UACGAAGGGGGCUAGCGUUGCUCGGAAUUACUGGGCGUAAAGGGCGCGUAGGCGGAUAUUUAAGUCGGGGGUGAAAGCCCGGGGCUCAACCCCGGAACUGCCUUUAAAACUGCAUCGCUUGAAUCCGGGAGAGGUGAGUGGAAUUCCGAGUGUAGAGGUGAAAUUCGUAGAUAUUCGGAAGAACACCAGUGGCGAAGGCGGCUCACUGGACCGGUAUUGACGCUGAGGUGCGAAAGCGUGGGGAGCAAACAGG